This is a long non-coding RNA of Oncorhynchus nerka (sockeye salmon), 2681 nucleotides long. RefSeq lists it as uncharacterized. The transcript has 5 exons. NCBI's taxonomy places the organism in Eukaryota, Metazoa, Chordata, Actinopteri, Salmoniformes, Salmonidae. The record is from RefSeq and is a predicted model, not a curated record.
UUGUAAUACAUUGGUUGAAGUUGUAUGCUUGACUUGUCGGUGUCAUACUGAGCUUUAACGGCAGCACUGACAAUGAUGACAGCAUUAUGUGUUGUGUUGUACUUUUCAUCCAUUUGUGUUGUCCCUAUUUGACAUGAACUUUUAUCAUCGUUACCAUGUUACUACUUGUUACUAGACAGGCUGGGAGAUAUGAAGUCAAUAUAAAUUUACCUCCUAAAAGAUAAUAAAUAAUUUGGCUUGGUAACCUCUCCCCUUCCUCCAUCUAUUCCUCCCACCACAGACAGUCAGUCAAUCCCAGACAGUCUCAGACUCUCAGCGUAUGUGUUUUUUAAUCCUUACCAUAGGUAAGGAAGCAUGGCAGAUUCUCAGCACUUUUGAUUGAAGGCUAUAUUAUGUGGGGGAAACAUGUAAAAGAGGCUUUUGGGCAUAAAUUAGAGCUCCUCCAUGGUGUAUUGCUGGCUCUAUGUGAGCCAGGGGGCCAUGUUAUAUGUGUGAGUUAUUGCCUUGGACCGCGUGACUCCUGUGGUUGUGUGUACUUCUACUGUGCGUAAGAGGGUCUCGUGGCCAAUGUGUGUGUGUGUUUUCCUACUGUACCAGGGCCUCACUGAAUUUGUGAGAGAGCAGAAGAGAGGAGAAACAUUGCACACUGUUUUUGAUUCAUGGUACGUUUCCAGGAGAGAUCCAGCAACAUAGGAUAGUUUGACUUUAUCUGUACCUUUCCUGUAUGUUCCCAGCCACAGCAGCAGGCUUGCUGUUUGUCAUGAUAGCUGGGACUAGAAAUGUCAUUUUACAACCUAGAGGAUGAGGAGAAGAGCUGUAUGAACGACCAAUGCCCAGUUACACAGACCUGCAGAGAAGACUAAGUAUUAUAGAUGAAUGUGAAUGCUGGUAGAUACUGUAUAUUCCAAGCAGUGUGUGUUUACGCGUGCUCAAUGGGCAGAAGAUGUAAUCUGUAGAGCCCUUUUCAUUUAUUCUAUUAAAAAGGGAACUGGUAUAUGAGGCGAAUUGAAAGCUCCCACCAUGAACAUCAAAUUGACUUUGGAAGGCUCCAGGCAUUCCUGUUCGACAGCACAUUAGCCGCGGCUACUCUCCACCUUGAGAUGAUGGGCAGCCUGCCAGGUAGGGGUUGCCAUGACUCCUAACACCACCCCUUCCCUCUGCACUCCCUGCCCCCUUGAAUGUGCCAAAUAUUCGGGCAGGCUGGGCUGGCUAAGGUUUUGAUUUAGACAAAAGAUGUCUUAACAAUGUCAGUAGAAUGCUUUAUGGGAAUGCUGUGGCUUUCUGGUAGGAAAUCAUGUGACCUCCUCGGCCAAGGUUUUGUUAUGGUGCCAGGAGGGAGAGAACGAGAGAGGGAGUGAAGGGGGAAACUUGGAAUGCGAUGCCAGCAAAGGGUUUUUAUUCUUUCUUUUUGGGGCUUUCUUUCAUUCUUGUGUUUGCUGAGAAAAUGGCGGACGGUGUGGAGCUGAAAUGAACCCGACUUGCCAAUGGAGCUGGGCACAAUAACACAACUCAACUUUAGUAUUUUUAAAUCAAAUAUUUUGUGCCAUGUCUCAUAGCUUUUUGAUUCCUGAUAAAUCCUGCUUCCUAUCUGUCUGUCUCCGGCUGGGUACAAAAGAGAGGUCUGAACAAUCCAAAUCAAGUAGAGAUGAUGAAUGUCAAAUGGUUAGUAGAGAUCUGGAGUGAGAAAUGACCAUGGGUGACUCCUUACCCUGAAAGGCACACGAUCAACAAGAACAGAGCAAACUGGCUCUAAACCAGAAUAGAAACAGGAGUGGGAGGCCCUGGUGCACAACUGAGCAAGAGGACAAGAACAUUAGUGUCUAGUUUGAGAAACAGACACCUCACAAGUCCUCAACUGGCAGCUUCAUUAAAUAGUACCCGAAAACACCAGUCUCAACGUCAACAGUGAAGAGGCGACUCCGGGAUGCUGGCCUUCAAGUUGCUUCUGAAUUUAUCAGAAACUUGCCCAUACUGGCUCCUAAUGGACCUUUCCUGCCAGUAGACCCAAGACCGAAGAGGAGGAGGUAGCGGAGGUGUAGGGGAGGGGGUGGCAGAAGGGAGGCUGCUCCUCAGACGGCGCAGAGCGCUCUCUUCUCGUCUCCCUUCAUCAUUGGUAUGCAGUGACUAUUCCCCAGGCGACAGGGCCACUGGGUUGGGGCUAAACUGACUGCAGGAGAGUCAGGUCUACAAAGUAAAUGAGAGGAGAGCAAGACAGCAGGUAAGGGUAAUGAGAACAGGCAGAGAGAGGGAGGGAGGAGGACAAGAGAAAGGCGGAAGGGAAGCUAAUGUCCCAAGGGGCUUUGGGGGUGAGGCACCGCCUGACCCCUCCCUCACACUCUGUACACUGUCCAGGCCCACACACAUACACAUUAAUGCUUAAACUCCCGACCAGAUACAUUAUGUUCAAGUGCACAUCAUGUAUCCAAAAAACAAUAACAUAUCAGUUAGGCUAAUGGUUUUUUUUGCAAGAGCUUUUAUGACUAUAUAGUGAUAAUGUAAUGUUUCUUGAGAUGCGUGCAUAUGAUUUCCUCAAAUAUUUGUAUUUUAUUAUGUUAUUCCAUGAAACAUGAAUCUUUAAAAAUAUAUUUGAAUAUAUUUGUAAGGAAAGCAAAUGAUGGAAUACAAAGUGUAAAAUGUCAUUACAAAUUUUAAAAAGUGUGAAAAUAAACUGAUGAGUAUUA